GACGAACGCUGGCGGCGUGCCUAAUACAUGCAAGUCGAACGAAGCUGUUUUAACUGGUGCUUGCACCGACUUAAACAACUGAGUGGCGAACGGGUGAGUAACACGUGGGUAACCUGCCCCAAAGCGGGGGAUAACAUUUGGAAACAGAUGCUAAUACCGCAUAACAACAGAAACAACAUGGUUUCUGUGUCAAAGAUGGUUUCGGCUAUCACUUUGGGAUGGACCCGCGGCGUAUUAGCUAGUUGGUAAGGUAAUGGCUUACCAAGGCAAUGAGACGUAGCCGAACUGAGAGGUUGAUCGGCCACAUUGGGACUGAGACACGGCCCAAACUCCUACGGGAGGCAGCAGUAGGGAAUCUUCCACAAUGGACGAAAGUCUGAUGGAGCAACGCCGCGUGAGUGAAGAAGGUUUUCGGAUCGUAAAACUCUGUUGUCAGAGAAGAACGUGUGCGAGAGUAACUGUUCGUGCAGUGACGGUAUCUGGCCAGAAAGCCACGGCUAACUACGUGCCAGCAGCCGCCGUAA
This 524-nucleotide ribosomal RNA is filed under the name uncultured bacterium. Its description in RNAcentral is "partial 16S ribosomal RNA". It matches the Rfam family "Bacterial small subunit ribosomal RNA", at positions 28 to 523 of the family's 1533-position model. The record is from RNAcentral.